GAUGAACGCUGGCGGCGUGCCUAAUACAUGCAAGUCGAGCGAACAGACGAGGAGCUUGCUCCUCUGACGUUAGCGGCGGAAGGGUGAGUAACGCGUGGAUAACCUACCUAUAAGACUGGGAUAACUUCGGGAAACCGGAACUAAUACCGGAUAAUAUAUUGAACCGCAUGGUUCAAUAGUGAAAGACGGUUUUGCUGUCACUUAUAGAUGGAUCCGCGCCGCAUUAGCUAGUUGGUAAGGUAACGGCUUACCAAGGCGACGAUGCGUAGCCAACCUGAGAGGGUGAUCGGCCACACUGGAACUGAGACACGGUCCAGACUCCUACGGGAGGCAGCAGUAGGGAAUCUUCCGCAAUGGGCGAAAGCCUGACGGAGCAACGCCGCGUGAGUGAUGAAGGUCUUCGGAUCGUAAAACUCUGUUAUUAGGGAAGAACAAAUGUGUAAGUAACUAUGCACGUCUUGACGGUACCUAAUCAGAAAGCCACGGCUAACUACGUG
RNAcentral lists this ribosomal RNA (497 nucleotides) under uncultured bacterium. Its description in RNAcentral is "partial 16S ribosomal RNA". It matches the Rfam family "Bacterial small subunit ribosomal RNA", at positions 28 to 507 of the family's 1533-position model. The record is from RNAcentral.